GAUGAACGCUGGCGGCGUGCCUAAUACAUGCAAGUCGAGCGAACAGACGAGGAGCUUGCUCCUCUGACGUUAGCGGCGGACGGGUGAGUAACACGUGGAUAACCUACCUAUAAGACUGGGAUAACUUCGGGAAACCGGAGCUAAUACCGGAUAAUAUAUUGAACCGCAUGGUUCAAUAGUGAAAGACGGUUUUGCUGUCACUUAUAGAUGGAUCCGCGCCGCAUUAGCUAGUUGGUAAGGUAACGGCUUACCAAGGCAACGAUGCGUAGCCGACCUGAGAGGGUGAUCGGCCACACUGGAACUGACACACGGUCCAGACUCCUGCGGGAGGCAGCAGUAGGGAAUCUUCCGCAAUGGGCGAAAGCCUGACGGAGCAACGCCGCGCGAGUGAUGAAGGUCUUCGGAUCGUAAAACUCGGUUAUUAGGGAAGAACAAAUGUGUAAGUAACUAUGCACGGCUUGACGGUACCUAAUCAGAAAGCCACGGCUAACUACGUG
This 497-nucleotide ribosomal RNA is filed under the name uncultured bacterium. RNAcentral's name for it is "partial 16S ribosomal RNA". It matches the Rfam family "Bacterial small subunit ribosomal RNA", at positions 28 to 507 of the family's 1533-position model. The record is from RNAcentral.